Molecule: ribosomal RNA, 232 nt
Filed under: Thiorhodococcus modestalkaliphilus
Lineage: Bacteria; Pseudomonadati; Pseudomonadota; Gammaproteobacteria; Chromatiales; Chromatiaceae
Description: partial 16S ribosomal RNA
Rfam family: Bacterial small subunit ribosomal RNA
Source: RNAcentral
GCGCACCCUUGUCCUUAGUUGCCAGCACGUCAUGGUGGGAACUCUAAGGAGACUGCCGGUGAUAAACCGGAGGAAGGUGGGGAUGACGUCAAGUCAUCAUGGCCCUUAUGGGCUGGGCUACACACGUGCUACAAUGGUCGGUACAGAGGGUUGCAAAGCGGCGACGUGGAGCUAAUCUCAGAAAACCGGUCGUAGUCCGGAUUGCAGUCUGCAACUCGACUGCAUGAAGUCG